RNAcentral lists this small RNA (95 nucleotides) under Caenorhabditis elegans. RNAcentral's name for it is "Unclassified non-coding RNA C41C4.15". The record is from RNAcentral. Lineage: Eukaryota; Metazoa; Nematoda; Chromadorea; Rhabditida; Rhabditidae.
AAAAGUGUAAAACGGGCUGCUCAGCACUCCGGAAAACCGUGUUAUCACCAGGGAUGGUCUGAGGACUGACAGAUUUGAGUAUGACAUCAUUGCCC